GCAGAGAAUACUGUGAGACUUGGGAAUGGAAGAAGCCGGCGGUACUUUUUGGGAAGGAGUAAAAUCCUCAGAUCCAAAAAGGACCAUCAGUGGCGAAGGCGGCCGGCUAGGACAUGUCCGACGGUGAGGGACGAAAGCUGAGGUAGCGAUCCGGAUUAGAUACCCGGGUAGUCUCAGCUGUAAACGAUGCAGACUAGGUGUGUGAGCAAACAUGUGUUGCUCAUGUGCCGUAGAGAAAUUGUUAAGUCUGCCGCCUGGGAAGUACGUCCGCAAGGAUGAAACUUAAAGGAAUUGGCGGGGGAGCACCACAAGGGGUGAAUCUUGCGGUUUAAUUGGAGUCAACGCCCGGAAACUUACCUGGGGGGACAGCAGAAUGAAAGCCUAGCUAAAGACUAUGCUAGACAAGCUGAGAGGUGGUGCAUGGCCGUCGCCGGUUCGUACCGUGAGGUGUCCUGUUAAGUCAGGCAACGAACGAGACCCAUAUUCCUAGUUGCUAGAAUGAUUUCUCGAAAUCAUUAAGGAAACUAGUUAGACUGCCGCUGUAAAGCGGAGGAAGGAAUGGGCUACGGCAGGUCAGUAUGCCCUAAAUCCUCAGGGCCACACGCGAGAUGCAAUAGCAUGGACAAUGGGUUCUGACCCCGAAAGGGGUAAGAAAUCCUUAAAUCAUGCUUCAGUUG
This 677-nucleotide ribosomal RNA is filed under the name marine metagenome. Its description in RNAcentral is "bacterial SSU rRNA". It matches the Rfam family "Archaeal small subunit ribosomal RNA", at positions 574 to 1250 of the family's 1478-position model. The record is from RNAcentral.